Phyllopteryx taeniolatus (common seadragon) is the source of this 2627-nucleotide long non-coding RNA. RefSeq lists it as uncharacterized. Lineage: Eukaryota; Metazoa; Chordata; Actinopteri; Syngnathiformes; Syngnathidae. The record is from RefSeq and is a predicted model, not a curated record. The transcript is spliced from 3 exons.
GUCGGCGCAAGGGGACAUCAGUAGUGUGGACAAAAGUUCUGUGAAUGCGCCUGGUGCAGAAAAAGAAGGAAGGAGUCAACACCACAGGCAGCACUCGGAGAAGGAGGAUCGAGGAGGUCAAAGUACAUUUAUAGCCGCACGCCGCGCUAUACAUAACGUCGUCACGCGGACGAUACCGCGAAAAACUUGAGCUUUGGAAACAGCACCCGCCGUCAAUCAAAAUGGCACCCGAGCGCCUGACCGCCGACGGCCAAGAUGGCGUGAUAAGGAAAACACCAUCUGAGUGACAGGGGAAAAUUGAAUUUAGCCAGAAUGCUACUCUGGCGAAGCAGAACGAGCCUAUCUUUCUAACCCACUGAGAUAUGAAGCAGAAGUUGGUGACAUUUGGGACAACCAGUACCCUGGGGAGAAGAGCCUUGGUGAGAGAGGUAAAGAAGAACCCAAAGAUCACUGUGACUGAGCUCCAGAGAUGCAGAUGGGAGAUGGGAGAAAGUUCUAGAAAGUUAACCAUCACUGCAGCCGUCCACCAGUCGGGGAUUUACGGCAGAGUGGACCGACGGAAGCCUCUCCUCAGUGCAACACACAUGAAAGCCCGCAUGGAGUUCGCUAAAAAAAAAACACCUGAAGGACUCCAAGAUGGUGAGAAAUAAGAUUCUCUGCUCUGAUGAGACAAAGAUAGAAGUUUUUGGCCUUAAUUCUAAGCGGUAUGCAUGGAAAAAACCAGGCACUGCUCAUCACCUGUUCAAUACAGUCCCAACAGUGAAGCAUGGUGGUGGCAGCAUCGCGCUGUGGGGGUGUUUUUCAGCUGCAGGGACAGGACGACUGGUUGCAAUCGAAGGGAAGAUGAAUGCGGCCAAGUACAGGGAUUUCCUGGAUGAAAACCUUCUCCAGAGUGCUCAGGACCUCAGACUGGGCCGAAGGUUCACCUUCCAACAAGACACAGCAGACAGCUAAAAUAACAAAUGAGUGGCUUCAGCGCAACUCCCUGACUGUUCUUGAAAGGCCCAGCCAGAGCCCCUGACUUAAACCCAAGUGAGAAAAUGGCUGUCCACCAAUGUUCACCAUCCAACCUGACAGAAUUGGAGAGGAUCUGCAAGGAGGAAAGGUAGAGGAUCCCCAAAUCUAGGUGUGAAAAGGAUCUGAAUAUCACUAUCACUGGAUCUGAAUCACUAUCACAGGAUCACUAUCACUAUCACUAUCACAGGAUCUGAAUAUCACUAUCACUAAAUAUCACUAAAUAUCACACAAGGCGUAAGCCUUGUGUGAUAUUUCAGUUUUUCUUUUUUAAUCUGCAAAAAUUUCAACAAUUCUGUUUUUUUCUGUCAAUAUGGGGUGCUAUGUGUACAUUGAGGGGCUUAAAUGAUUUUAGAAAACGGGUGCAAUAUACGACCCAGGACGCGCUGGAGAGACUACAUCCUUCGGCUGGCCUGGGAACGCCUCGGGAUCCCCCCGGAAGAGCUGGAUGAAGUGGCUGGGGAGAGGGUAGUCUGGGCGUCCCUGCUGAAGCUACUGCCCCCGCGACCCGACCCGGAUAGCUGGGAUAGUCUCCAGCGCGCCCGCGACCCGAGUGAGGAUAAGUGGUACGGAAAAUGAAUGAAUGAAUAUUUGUUUUAUACAAUGGUGCCUUGACUUACGAGUAGAAUUAGUUCUGUGACCAUGCUUGCUAGGUUGGGCGCUAUGGCCUUAAAAUUCUUGAUUUUGUUUUGAAAAAUAAUCUGAUUUGUGAUUUAAAUACAUUUUUCCUCCCUUCAAUAAGAAGUAGUACAUGGCAAUAGCAUUUUUCAAAACUUCGCGCAUUAACUCUAUCAGUUGAGUUAUGGAAAAGAUUCUGGUCUGUAAAUACUUUAAACUAGGGUGGCAACUAACAAUUAUUGUAUUAAUCAAGUAAUCUGUCGAUUAUUUUUAAUGAAUCUGAUUCAGGGUGUAGCCCGCCUCUCGCCCGAAGAUAGCUGGGAUAGGCUCCAGCACGCCCGCGACCCUAGUGAGGAUAAGCGGUACAGAAAAUUGAUGGAUGAUGCAGUUGCUGGUUUGACCCAUAUUAGUCACAAAAGGGCGGCACGGUGGCCGACUGGUUAGAGCGUCUGCCUCACAGUUCUGAGGUGUGGAGUUUGCAUGUUCUCCCCGUUCCUGCGUGGGUUUUCUCCGGGCACUCCGGUUUCCUCCCACAUCCCAAAAACAUGCAUCGUAGGUUAAUUGACAACUCUUAAUUGCCCGUAUGUGUGAAUGUGAGUGUGAAUGGUUGUUUGUUUAUAUGUGCCGUGCGAGUGGCUGGCAACCAGUUUAGGGUGUACCCCGCCUCCUGCCCGAUGACAGUUGGGAUAGGCUCCAGCACGCCCCCUAGUGAGGAGAAGCCGCUUUUGAUUUUGAUUACAGAAAUCUGAGAAUAUUUCCUGUCAAGAGGCUGAAUCAGAGGAUUUGGACCAUAUGAAGUUAAACAAGGUUUCUAAACAAUUAAUUGAUGAUCAAAAUAGUUGUCGAUUAAUUUGACAAUUUAACUAUUUGUCGAUUAAUCAAUUAAUUGUUGCAGUAGUACUUUAACCCCAGUAAAAUAUAAUUUACAAUUGAUCUGCUGUAUAUAUUUCAGGAUGAAAUCACUGUAAAAGACAGUCAUUUAAAGUGAGAACAAA